ACUCCUACGGGAGGCAGCAGUGGGGAAUAUUGCACAAUGGGCGCAAGCCUGAUGCAGCCAUGCCGCGUGUGUGAAGAAGGCCUUCGGGUUGUAAAGCACUUUCAGUCGUGAGGAAGGUAGUGUAGUUAAUAGCUGCAUUAUUUGACGUUAGCGACAGAAGAAGCACCGGCUAACUCCGUGCCAGCAGCCGCGGUAAUACGGAGGGUGCGAGCGUUAAUCGGAAUUACUGGGCGUAAAGCGCAUGCAGGUGGUUUGUUAAGUCAGAUGUGAAAGCCCGGGGCUCAACCUCGGAAUAGCAUUUGAAACUGGCAGACUAGAGUACUGUAGAGGGGGUUAGAAUUUCAGGUGUAGCGGUGAAAUGCGUAGAGAUCUGAAGGAAUACCGGUGGCGAAGGCGGCCCCUGGACAGAUACUGACACUCAGAUGCGAAAGCGUGGGAGC
Molecule: ribosomal RNA, 440 nt
Filed under: uncultured bacterium
Lineage: Bacteria
Description: bacterial SSU rRNA
Rfam family: Bacterial small subunit ribosomal RNA
Source: RNAcentral